Silurus meridionalis is the source of this 997-nucleotide long non-coding RNA. RefSeq lists it as uncharacterized. The transcript is spliced from 3 exons. Lineage: Eukaryota; Metazoa; Chordata; Actinopteri; Siluriformes; Siluridae. The record is from RefSeq and is a predicted model, not a curated record.
UUAAAGGAGCUGGGCAGGUAGUUUUUUUGUUUAGCCUUCUUCUGUAAAUCACAUGCAGCAGUGAGUAAAACAAUUAUGGAAAGCCUUCACUGGCCUUUAGCAUCAGUUGCUAUAUGUUUGUAUUUAUCCAGAUGGAAGUGUGUAGGAAUCUGGUUGGUGUUCCAAUGAAUCACAUUUUCCCAGUCAAAAACUACCAUGAGGAGAUGGACACAAAUGAUGUCAUGGACGCUCUGAUACUCAAGGCACUUGAUCAAAUUGUGAACAUCGCCUGGCCUCUUGCCAUGUUGACGAAUCCGAGGAGUGUUCAUCUCGAUUCAGUGGAUUAAAUAUAACGGAAAAGUUCAAACCUGCAGAUGAACCUUCUCCAGUUCCAGGCAAGUUUAGUGAGCAAUAAGACUUUUUAGCCUUAUGUCUUUUAGAUGAUGUUUAAUAUUUUAAUUUUACGCUUGUAUGAGAGUUAGUCUGUGGCAGGAAUGUGUUAGGGAUAAAUAUUCAUCAAUAAACAAUUCAUUUAAAAUGUAUAUUUGGAUACUGUUUCUAUGAGAUUUCUAUGGGCCUUUGGGAAAAUGUCUACUGUUAAAUGUGCUAUACAACUACAACUGAAUUAAACUGAAUGUCUAAUUCACAAGGAAGUGAUGUGACUUGACUAAAACCUUGGAGCACAUUUAGCAAUUUCAGAUGUAACAUCUAUGUUGGCUUUAUUUCAUAAAUUUUUAUAAAUGAAAAAAAUAUAUAAUCUGUGUAACCUUUGGUUUGUUUUUUAGAAUUUAAAAAGCCGUGGAGGAAAAUGCUUUGGGAUAAGAAAGACACUUUAGAAGAGAAACUGAGGAACUUUCAGCUCAGCUCUCCUGGAGUUAAGUUUGUCAGGAUUCUUGUCAUUGGUGAAAUUGGAGCAGGAAAGUCCAGCUUUAUAAAUUCUGUUAAUAGUGUAUUCCAAAAUCGAAUCACCUGUGAGGCUCUGGCUGAUUCAACAUCUGGAACCAGUUUCACAAAAACU